Drosophila yakuba is the source of this 1507-nucleotide long non-coding RNA. RefSeq lists it as uncharacterized. The record is from RefSeq and is a predicted model, not a curated record. The transcript is spliced from 3 exons. Lineage: Eukaryota; Metazoa; Arthropoda; Insecta; Diptera; Drosophilidae.
GCGGAAUAUAUUGGGCUGAUCCGGCUGGCCAUUUGGCCGGGCGGCAUUUGACGCCGUCUUUUCCUUUUUCAUGCGCUUUUCAUUUUCCUUCAUUUUGUGUUCGCUUUUUCCGUUUUCCUUUUUCCUUUGGCGCGGCCAGCGUUUGACGUCUGCGUGGAGGCAGUGCAUCACAGCCAGCGGGGCCUGUACAGGGUGCCUUGUGGCAGGGGCAUCUGUCGGAAGAUGCCCAUCUCAAGUGAUUUCACCUUCUGCCUUCUGUCUUUUGUCUUCUGUCCGAAUUUAGAUUUCUGAUUGCCGAUUUCUGAUUUUGUGCUGAUUCCGAUUUGGAUUUUUGAUUAGCGAACGCCUUCAAUUGCUGGCAGUUGGGGGCUUUAGUUUUGACAGCGAUGUGCGGACUUCCUGUAUCGCAUCGCGGACUGCACAAGAUAUAUGAAAGACAAGUGUUUCGAACGGACCCCCGGUUUUUUCCCCGAAGCGCUGUCUCGGCAAACGCAGCGACAAGAUGCGGGACAAAUGCCUGAAUAUAGAUACAUCCAAUGGAUGUGUCUCUGAUGAGCAAAUGCAAUUAUGUGGCAUGGCCAUAGGAGUAAUGGCAGCAAUAGGAGCAAUAGGAGCAGGGUGCAGUUGAGGAUGCUGGGUAAUGAAUAGAGCCACGAAAUAGAGCAGCAACUUCUUCGUAUUCCCCUCUCGAUGGUCCUGUUCUGCAUCUGUGUGUUUGCAUGUGGAAAACCACACUGAUGACAGACAAGCCACGGCAGAGAAAGCCAAAGGAUAACAUGAGAUAACACACAUCAAAAGCCACUCAGACACCCUCACACGCACAGCAGGGGUCAGGAAUAUAUAGCACAGUAUUAUUAUUUACAAGGGGAGUAAAUGAUUAAUAUGUCAUCGUCACUAUUGUGGUUUAUUCAAAAUUCCCAUUUUGUAUCUUUCCCUUUUGAGGUGUACUGGAAGUAAUAACACACUUUAAAUGCAUAUUACUCGAAUGUGUUUAAAGUGAAGCUAUAUUUUUGGAGCCCUCUGUGGGGAUGCUCCCCAUACCAGCUGCUCGUGAUCCUUUUGGCGACGAGAAAUCAGCGCUCAAAUAUGAUUAAUAAGUAAUUUCUUUGUCAACAAGUGACUGGGGAUGGCCUGCUAUGACGACAGCGGCGAUAACGACAACGAGAAUGUGAACGAGAAUGGAACGACGCCAUGGAAAUCUUUAAUAAAAUACAUGCAUAAAUAAAUUAUAGGGCAAACAGAGGCGAGAAAACAAACUGCGUGGAGAUGAACUGCUCUGAAUGGAGGCAAACUGCUCCAUUUGUUGACGUCACACGCACAGAGCACGUGUGUGUGUCUGUGUGUGUAAGCACACGCAGAAUCUGAGUUAGUAGGGUAUAUUGACUGGCUGGAACGGAAGGCCUCCAGGGGCACGACCUUAAAUUCGUAUACUCUAUUUGUAAUAAAAUACCUUUCAUCUAUGAAAAGCUUUUACAAUGUUCCUGAAAGAUAAAUAUUGAAUAUUGAA